Molecule: transfer RNA, 71 nt
Filed under: Phrynosoma platyrhinos (Desert horned lizard)
Lineage: Eukaryota; Metazoa; Chordata; Lepidosauria; Squamata; Phrynosomatidae
Description: tRNA-OTHER
Source: RNAcentral
GCCAGUAUAGCGUAGUGUUUUGAGCAUUGGACUAUGACUCUGGAGACCAGGGUUCGAAUCUCUGUUCAGCA